Molecule: non-coding RNA, 893 nt
Organism: Dermacentor albipictus
Lineage: Eukaryota; Metazoa; Arthropoda; Arachnida; Ixodida; Ixodidae
Source: RefSeq, a predicted model, not a curated record
UGACGCCGGACACCGGAAGACGAAGGCUCAUCUUAUAACAGCUCCGCUCUUAAAAAAAUCCCAGGAUGGCUCUGUCUGCCUGCGUUCGAUAUACGGUUUGCCAGCCUCAUUGCCGGAAACGAGCAGCAAUGACGAUGUCUUCAUUCAGGCUCAUUGUAAUGGGGAUGCGGCGGCGGCAAUCGAGUUCAGGAAUUCGCUGUUAGCGAUGCAACGCCAAAUCCCUGAGAUACCGCGGACUGCGUGAGAAGAAUUGUACUGGAUCACGAGGUCCGCACAGUCAGCAUUUUAUGCCUAUUCAUCCUUUUCUGAAGCUUAUGCGAAGUCUGUAAGCAAACGCAGUGGAUGGAGAAAACGCAACAGCCCCGCCUGAAGCUGCAGCACAAGUACCCACACCUGCAGGAGCAACUACUGCAGCAACUCCACUAACACCUGAAAUAGAAACGUCCCAACGUGUAAAUGAAAUACCUCAAGAAGAUCCAGUGAAACAAGGAGGCGUCACAUCAGGUCAACCUACAUCAACAAAUGAAAUACCAACGACCUCAGUUGCUGACUGGGCGUCCAAGCAGUGCCAGUUCCUGGGGCAUGAAUGUGUUAAGUUUGAGUUUUGUAAGCCAAAAUAUCGGCUCCGACUCCGUGGCUGCGGAGAUGGUAAUGUGUGCUGCAACGUCCGUAAAACUAGAUCAUGCAUCAAAAUCGGAGGAGAAUGCCGAAAGAAAUGCCGUCAAUAUGAAGUUCCGAAUCGUUACGUCAAAUGCAGAAAUCUACUGAAGAAGUGCUGCGUGGCCGUCGACUAUCAGAGGCCUUCGACCAAGCUGAAAACCUAACAAUACUGCUUCUCAGUUUCUUGAAAAGAAACUGCUUUUUCUGCGGGAUAUACUACAUUAAAGGAAUAA